CUUAGCAUAAUGACUAAUUGAGAGAACAUUUCACUCUACUAACAUUUUUCAUUUAUGAUGUGUCAAAACAUGUCUUUUGGGGAGGGUGUGUUCCAAAAAUAGAAUUCUUUAUUUCACAUUGAUCAUGUUUCUGAUUUUAUUUACAAUUUAUGAAUUCUUUUCCACUUAAUGGUUUUCUUCCUGUUCACUGGUUGGCUGAGCUGACUUCUCUCAUGCUCCCUCCACCGCUAACUUGGUGUAUUUUUGGCUGUCCUAUCUAUAUUGCAUCUUGGACCCCGUGGGUCCUGGCAUGUGCUGUGUGCUCUUUCUGUCCUUGAUAGGAUCAUAGGCCUUUUCUUUCCACAUGUACAUUUUCCCCAAUACAAUUGUUUUUUUUUUUUGAGGCAGGGUCUCACUCUGUCACUCAAGCUGGAGUGCAGUGGUGCGAUCUCGGCUCACUGAAACCUCCACUUCCUAGAUUCAAGCGAUCCGCCUACCUCAGCUUCUCUAGUAGCUGGGACUACAGUCACUUGCCAACAUGCCCGGCAAAUUUUUGUAUUUUUAGUAGAGACGGGGUUUCACCAUGUUGGUUGGGUUGGUCUUGAACUCCUGAUCCCAGGCGAUCUGCCCGCCUCGGCCUCCCCAAGUGCUGGGAUUACAGGUGAGAGCCACUGAGCCCGGCUCCCAAUACAGUUUUUUAUUGCAAAAUUCAUGCCCUAAUGGAGUCUCCUGUCGUGUGCCUUGUUUCCAUUAACUAGGCAUCAUCUUUUUUUUUUUAAUGUUUUAUUUCGUAGCCUAUCUGCUGAUGUGGCAUCACUUUUGUUUCCAGUAAAUGAAAGGAAAACAUUUCCACUCACUUAGGCAAAAAGAAGAAGAAAAGCUUGAGUGCUCAGCUGUUCUCUGAGAUGAGAUAGGACUUCAGCUUAGAGUGCAAUCUACACUGUCAGCUCUCUGGCUCUCCAGCCUUCAGACUACACCACCGGCUUUCCUGGGUGUCCAGCUCGCAGACAGCAGAUGCAUAGCUCCCUGUGACUGACACAUUCCUCAGAGUAUGCUGU
This 1037-nucleotide long non-coding RNA is filed under the name Homo sapiens (human). RNAcentral's name for it is "HSALNT0084394". Lineage: Eukaryota; Metazoa; Chordata; Mammalia; Primates; Hominidae. The record is from RNAcentral.